Molecule: small nucleolar RNA, 107 nt
Organism: Dioscorea cayenensis subsp. rotundata (Guinea yam)
Lineage: Eukaryota; Viridiplantae; Streptophyta; Magnoliopsida; Dioscoreales; Dioscoreaceae
Source: RefSeq, a predicted model, not a curated record
AACCCAUGUUGAGGAUAUUUCCACAGGAGCUCCUUGAACCUAUCUCAUAUCUCAAAAAUAUACUCUAAUUCCGUUUGUACCAAGGAGGAAAUUUCAUUCACGAGCUU